This 460-nucleotide ribosomal RNA is filed under the name uncultured bacterium. RNAcentral describes it as "partial 16S ribosomal RNA". It matches the Rfam family "Bacterial small subunit ribosomal RNA", at positions 338 to 795 of the family's 1533-position model. The record is from RNAcentral.
CCUACGGGAGGCAGCAGUGAGGAAUAUUGGUCAAUGGGCGAGAGUCUGAACCAGCCAAGUCGCGUGAAGGAUGACGGAUCUAUGGUUUGUAAACUUCUUUUAUAUGGGAAUAAAGUUAGGUACGUGUUCUUUUUUGUAUGUACCAUAUGAAUAAGCAUCGGCUAACUCCGUGCCAGCAGCCGCGGUAAUACGGAGGAUGCGAGCGUUAUCCGGAUUUAUUGGGUUUAAAGGGUGCGUAGGUGGUUAAUUAAGUCAGCGGUGAAAGUUUGUGGCUCAACCAUAAAAUUGCCGUUGAAACUGGUUGACGUGAGGGUAGUUGAGGUAGGCGGAAUGCGUGGUGUAGCGGUGAAAUGCUGAGAUAUCACGAAGAACUCCGAUUGCGAAGGCAGCUUACUAAACUAUAACUGACACUGAAGCACGAAAGCGUGGGGAUCAAACAGGAUUAGAUACCCUAGUAGUC